Molecule: small nuclear RNA, 107 nt
Filed under: Tupaia belangeri (northern tree shrew)
Lineage: Eukaryota; Metazoa; Chordata; Mammalia; Scandentia; Tupaiidae
Source: RNAcentral
GUGCUCACUUCGGCAGCACAUAUACUAAAAUUGGAACGAUACAGUGAAGAUUAGCAUGACCCCUGUGCAAGGAUGACACGCAAAUUCAUGAAGCAUUCCAUAUUUUU